CAGCCGUAAACUAUGCUCGCUAGGUGUCAGGCAUGGCGCGACCGUGUCUGGUGCCGCAGGGAAGCCGUGAAGCGAGCCACCUGGGAAGUACGGCCGCAAGGCUGAACUUAAGGAAUUGGCGGGGGAGCACAACAACGGGUGGAGCCUGCGGUUUAAUUGGACUCAACGCCGGACAACUCACCGGGGGACGACAGCAAUAUGUAGGCCAGGCUGAAGACCUUGCCUGAAUCGCUGAGAGGAGGUGCAUGGCGUAGACGUCU
This 260-nucleotide ribosomal RNA is filed under the name uncultured archaeon. RNAcentral describes it as "partial 16S ribosomal RNA". It matches the Rfam family "Archaeal small subunit ribosomal RNA", at positions 748 to 1009 of the family's 1478-position model. The record is from RNAcentral.